CAUGAUUACCUUUUUCAACAAACUGUGAACUAUUUUAUUCUAUUCGUGUGUGUUGAUUGUUGAUCUUCGGAUCAUUCUCAACAUCACACUGUCAUUCGAUGAACAUUAGAUAGCUGGCUUGAUUUUCGAAUCUUUCUCAGCUGAUUGUUUUGUGUUUUAAUUACCACAUCCAAUCAACCAACAAACAUAGAAA
Molecule: unclassified non-coding RNA, 193 nt
Filed under: uncultured fungus
Lineage: Eukaryota; Fungi
Description: sequence contains ITS1, 5.8S rRNA gene
Source: RNAcentral